Non-coding RNA from Trametes cingulata, 104 nucleotides. NCBI's taxonomy places the organism in Eukaryota, Fungi, Basidiomycota, Agaricomycetes, Polyporales, Polyporaceae. The record is from the annotation of a GenBank genome assembly.
GCUUGGAUGGCUCAGCUGGUUAGAGCGCAGGUCUCAUACUUUCACGUAUGACCGCCGCACGGUGGGCAAUCCUGAGGUCGUGAGUUCGAUCCUCACUCCGAGCA